GACGAACGCUGGCGGCGUGCUUAACACAUGCAAGUCGAACGGAAAGGCCCUGCUUUUGUGGGGUGCUCGAGUGGCGAACGGGUGAGUAACACGUGAGUAACCUGCCCUUGACUUUGGGAUAACUUCAGGAAACUGGGGCUAAUACCGGAUAGGAGCUCCUGCUGCAUGGUGGGGGUUGGAAAGUUUCGGCGGUUGGGGAUGGACUCGCGGCUUAUCAGCUUGUUGGUGGGGUAGUGGCUUACCAAGGCUUUGACGGGUAGCCGGCCUGGGAGGGUGACCGGCCACAUUGGGGCUGAGAUACGGCCCAGACUCCUACGGGAGGCAGCAGUGGGGAAUAUUGCACAAUGGGCGGAAGCCUGAUGCAGCAACGCCGCGUGCGGGAUGACGGCCUUCGGGUUGUAAACCGCUUUCGCCUGUGACGAAGCGUGAGUGACGGUAAUGGGUAAAGAAGCACCGGCUAACUACGUG
This 468-nucleotide ribosomal RNA is filed under the name uncultured bacterium. Its description in RNAcentral is "partial 16S ribosomal RNA". It matches the Rfam family "Bacterial small subunit ribosomal RNA", at positions 28 to 507 of the family's 1533-position model. The record is from RNAcentral.